This 253-nucleotide ribosomal RNA is filed under the name uncultured bacterium. RNAcentral's name for it is "partial 16S ribosomal RNA". It matches the Rfam family "Bacterial small subunit ribosomal RNA", at positions 524 to 776 of the family's 1533-position model. The record is from RNAcentral.
UACAGAGGUCUCAAGCGUUGUUCGGAUUCAUUGGGCGUAAAGGGUGCGUAGGCGGCGCGGUAAGUCGGGUGUGAAAUCUCGGAGCUUAACUCCGAAACUGCAUUCGAUACUGCCGUGCUUGAGGACUGGAGAGGAGACUGGAAUUUACGGUGUAGCGGUGAAAUGCGUAGAUAUCUGGAGGAACAUCAGUGGCGAAGGCGGCACCCUGGACUCAUACUGACACUGAGGUGCGAAAGCGUGGGGAGCAAACAGG